AUUGAACGCUGGCGGCAGGCUUAACGCAUGCAAGUCGAGCGGUAACAGAGAGAAGCUUGCUUCUCUGCUGACGAGCGGCGGACGGGUGAGUAAUGCCUAGGAAUCUGCCUAGUAGUGGGGGAUAACUUGCCGAAAGGUAAGCUAAUACCGCAUACGUCCUACGGGAGAAAGGAGGGGACCUUCGGGCCUUUCGCUAUUAGAUGCGCCUAGGUCGGAUUAGUUAGUUGGUGAGGUAAUGGCUCACCAAGACCGCGAUCCGUAACUGGUCUGAGAGGAUGAUCAGUCACACUGGAACUGAGACACGGUCCAGACUCCUACGGGAGGCAGCAGUGGGGAAUAUUGGACAAUGGGGGGAACCCUGAUCCAGCCAUGCCGCGUGUGUGAAGAAGGUCUUAGGAUUGUAAAGCACUUUAAGUUGGGAGGAAGAGCAGUUAACUAAUAUUUGACUGUUUUGACGUUACCGACAGAAUAAGCACCGGCUAACUUCGUGCCAGCCGCCGCAGUAA
Molecule: ribosomal RNA, 506 nt
Filed under: uncultured bacterium
Lineage: Bacteria
Description: partial 16S ribosomal RNA
Rfam family: Bacterial small subunit ribosomal RNA
Source: RNAcentral